UGAGUAAUACGUCGGAACGUGUCUUCUAGUGGGGGAUAACUGCCCGAAAGGGCAGCUAAUACCGCAUGAGACCUGAGGGUGAAAGCGGGGGACCGCAAGACCUCGCGCUGGAAGAGCGGCCGAUGUCCGAUUAGCUAGUUGGUGAGGUAAAGGCUCACCAAGGCGACGAUCGGUAGCUGGUCUGAGAGGACGACCAGCCACACUGGGACUGAGACACGGCCCAG
RNAcentral lists this ribosomal RNA (224 nucleotides) under uncultured bacterium. RNAcentral describes it as "partial 16S ribosomal RNA". It matches the Rfam family "Bacterial small subunit ribosomal RNA", at positions 107 to 334 of the family's 1533-position model. The record is from RNAcentral.